RNAcentral lists this ribosomal RNA (791 nucleotides) under uncultured Burkholderia sp. RNAcentral describes it as "bacterial SSU rRNA". It matches the Rfam family "Bacterial small subunit ribosomal RNA", at positions 58 to 845 of the family's 1533-position model. The record is from RNAcentral. Lineage: Bacteria; Pseudomonadati; Pseudomonadota; Betaproteobacteria; Burkholderiales; Burkholderiaceae.
CAAGUCGAACGGCAGCACGGGGGCAACCCUGGUGGCGAGUGGCGAACGGGUGAGUAACGCAUCGGAACGUGCCCAGUAGUGGGGGACAACCAGUCGAAAGACUGGCUAAUACCGCAUACGACCUAAGGGUGAAAGCGGGGGACCGAAAGGCCUCGCGCUAUUGGAGCGGCCGAUGUCUGAUUAGCUAGUUGGUGAGGUAAAAGCUCACCAAGGCGACGAUCAGUAGCUGGUCUGAGAGGACGACCAGCCACACUGGGACUGAGACACGGCCCAGACUCCUACGGGAGGCAGCAGUGGGGAAUUUUGGACAAUGGGCGCAAGCCUGAUCCAGCCAUGCCGCGUGCGGGAAGAAGGCCUUCGGGUUGUAAACCGCUUUUGGCAGGAACGAAACGGUGACUCCUAAUACGAGUCGCUAAUGACGGUACCUGCAGAAUAAGCACCGGCUAACUACGUGCCAGCAGCCGCGGUAAUACGUAGGGUGCGAGCGUUAAUCGGAAUUACUGGGCGUAAAGCGUACGCANGCGGCUAUGCAAGACAGGUGUGAAAUCCCCGGGCUUAACCUGGGAACUGCAUUUGUGACUGCAUGGCUAGAGUUUGUCAGAGGGGGGUGGAAUUCCACGUGUAGCAGUGAAAUGCGUAGAGAUGUGGAGGAACACCGAUGGCGAAGGCAGCCCCCUGGGAUAAAACUGACGCUCAUGUACGAAAGCGUGCGCAGCAAACAGGAUUAGAUACCCUGGUAGUCCACGCCCUAAACGAUGUCGACUAGUUGUCGGGGAUUCACUUCCUUGGUA